This 489-nucleotide ribosomal RNA is filed under the name uncultured bacterium. RNAcentral's name for it is "partial 16S ribosomal RNA". It matches the Rfam family "Bacterial small subunit ribosomal RNA", at positions 30 to 507 of the family's 1533-position model. The record is from RNAcentral.
UUGAACGCUGGCGGCAGGCCUAACACAUGCAAGUCGAACGGUAACAGGAAGAAGCUUGCUUCUUUGCUGACGAGUGGCGGACGGGUGAGUAAUGUCUGGGAAACUGCCUGAUGGAGGGGGAUAACUACUGGAAACGGUAGCUAAUACCGCAUAACGUCGCAAGACCAAAGAGGGGGACCUUCGGGCCUCUUGCCAUCGGAUGUGCCCAGAUGGGAUUAGCUAGUAGGUGGGGUAACGGCUCACCUAGGCGACGAUUCCUAGCUGGUCUGAGAGGAUGACCAGCCACACUGGAACUGAGACACGGUCCAGACUCCUACGGGAGGCAGCAGUGGGGAAUAUUGCACAAUGGGCGCAAGCCUGAUGCAGCCAUGCCGCGUGUAUGAAGAAGGCCUUCGGGUUGUAAAGUACUUUCAGCGGGGAGGAAGGGAGUAAAGUUAAUACCUUUGCUCAUUGACGUUACCCGCAGAAGAAGCACCGGCUAACUCCGUG